This 172-nucleotide ribosomal RNA is filed under the name Artedius corallinus (coralline sculpin). RNAcentral's name for it is "partial small subunit ribosomal RNA". The record is from RNAcentral. Lineage: Eukaryota; Metazoa; Chordata; Actinopteri; Perciformes; Cottidae.
CACCGCGGUUAUACGAAUGACCCAAGUUGACAGAUACUCGGCGUAAAACGUGGCUAAGCUACACACUCACAACUAAAGCCAAACACCUUCAAAGCUGUGAUACGCAAUCGAAGGCAGGAAGCCCCACCACGAAAGUGGCUUUACCUAAUCUGAGUCCACGAAAGCUAGGGGA